GUGCUCCACUGGCAACUUCUCAUUCUUAGAAUACUCUCAUGUUCUACCCCUCAUACUCCAGCCCAGAUCAAAGGCUACUUCAUCCAAAAGCCCUUUUGGAAGACCUUGACUCUCCAGGAAGAACAGGCUGCAGGUGUCUUGUUACAGAGGUUCUUGCCCUACAAAGUAAUUUGAACCUUUUCUCAAAACUGUAUGAAAAACGGAACUGCAACAUGGGACUGCUGGCUGCCUUAAACGACGAUUGGGAGAUGAUGUGCCUUCCUACUGAUGAGGAUGCCCUUUGUACCACUCUCCUCCUUGUCUCUUCCUUGGAAAUGUACAAGGAGCUUCAACAAUUACUGACAAAUGGUAGGGGUCGCUGUCCCCCUCAGUUGCCUCUGGGUUUUGUGACCUCACAGAAGCCAGCUCACCUUUCUGGGUCCCACAGCCUCAUCGUUAGAGACGAUUGGACCCCAGCCACUUUGCCCUGCCAGCUAGCACUGGAAGUUCCCAUCAGAGGCCAUUACAACACAGCUCAAUGGAGCCUUCUGCCGCACCUCCUGCAGCUUCCAGAAAGCACGGAUUCUCCAUCAAACCAGCCCAGCAAAUCUGAUUUUCUGCUCCCUGCUUAAUAGUCUAAUUUGCCUCCCACAUGCUCUUACAGAUGGCCCAGUGAAAAGACCACACGUGUCUGAGGCUCCAAGUCUUGGCAAUGAGAGAAACCCCACUGUUCUAUAGAACAGGCAGAGAGAGCAUCGGAGUUGGGGGGCUGCCCAUCAUGGUGGUGUUUCCCAGACUCCACGUACAAGGUCUAGGUUCCAGUUACUUCCAAGCAGUGUUGUGAAAUCAGGGAUCCUGUCACCCUUAGUGUACCUGGAUGGAAAAGGUUUUCAGAAGCUCCAGGCUUGAAGAGGGCUUUUUUUUUUUUUUUUUUUUUUUAAAUUGGGCUUUCAAACAUUAAGUUUUUGAUUUUUUUUUUUUUUUUUCAAAUUGGGCAUUCAGAACUUAAGCUUGUGCCUCUGGUUAGACUCCAAGAGUUGUUACAAACUGUAGACUGUGAAAGCCAAGCAAAGGUCUCAAAUAUCCUGAAGUGGGCCUUUGAUGCCACGCUUAGCACUGGUGGAAAUCCUCCUGGAUGCCAGGGUUUUACAGCUCCAGUGGCUACUCGUCUGUACUCCCCACCCCCAUCCUCAAUCUCCUGACUCUUGAAAUGACGCUGCCUCAGAUCCAAUAAAGCCAAGCAGGACCUCUUCCCAUUUACCCCACUACCAUGUGCCAGAGGCGAAUCUUAUGGCUCUAAUCCUCCUCUGAGGCCCGGCUUGCAGAGCUGCAGAAGCCAGGUACUGGGCUAUUGGGAGGCAAAGUGGGUAGGGCAUUCCCUUCUGGCUCCAACAGGACAGAAGAGAUGCACUGCCAGCACUGCCUAAUAGAAACUGGAAAACAACUUCCCAUGGAAAUAUCUGCAUGGUGAUUCAAUUCUAUCUUAUCCAAUAUGAAGGAAUAAAAAGGCUACAGGUGAAUAAACCAGAGGUUGGAACUAAAUGACUCAUUCAUAGCCACAUAGGUAGCAAAUGAGAGAGCUGAAGCCACAGCCAAGGCUCCCAGCUCCAGCUCCAUUACAGAAAGGCUAAGUGGGCUUUUACUUACUGUGGGGAGCUUGCAAUCUAUUUACAGCAUGGUUUCUACCACAGAGUAUGUUCUGAGUUCCAAAUCUCCACACUACUGAGAAAAUCUGGAGCAUGCUCAUCCUAAAUUGAAGACUAGCAGCUCUUUAGAAGGUCUGUUGGUCUCGGCACUUACUGGAGGGAUCCGACCUUGAGCCUGGAGGUUCUGCCAACAGAAGGACUCUGAUGUUAAAGGAAGCCCAGGAAUUACUGGGGAGAAGAACCUCUUUUAAUCUCUCAAGGCCAAGCUUGGAUUGCCUUUUUCUCACCACACUACUGCUAAGGGAAAAAAGCUGAGUAUGACAGUCACUAUGAUUUUGGAGAGAAACUUCCAUGAGCUCAUGACUUCGAGCACCCAUUGACUCAGCCUUCAGUGAAGGCCUGCUGACACCACACUGCUUCCCGGGGUGAUGAUGGUGACACUAUUCCCACUUCUUGUCCCUUGCCGAGAUGUUCAUGGGCCAAAAUGUAAAUUCAACCUGAUGACAUUUUGUUCUCUUGGCUCUGUGUCUCUCCUGAAUGACAAUAAUCACAAGUGUCUUAGAGUUAUUGUUCCCAGAUGAAACUGAGGGAGAGAUUUCAAUAACACCUGAAUUGCAAUGACUAGAGAAGUGGUCUCUUCCCUGGCUCUGUCAUCAUUUCUUCUCUUCUCUCAUUUGGACUCCAACAAUGACCUUCUUUCUGAUCUUCCUCUUGGUAUCACCUGGACUUCUAAUAGCCUGCUGAGUGGUCACCAUGCUGACUCUCUAUGCUAAAAGUAUUUUGUGCCCUAAACCUUAUUCCAUUUUUCUUUUAACUCAUAUCUAUAGUUCCCUCUUACCUGUGAACAGAUGGGCUACUAUGGUGAGAAGGCAAAAGGCACUGGGCACCUAAGUGGAGUGUCACCACUGUCACUCUGUAUUUCUGCAGCUCUUUUUCUUUCUGCCACAUGAGAGGCCUGAGCUGGUUGAGUUCUGAGGGUCACUGUGGCUCUCCAGGCCUUAGAGGCUCAGGGACUCCCUGAGGGACAGCAGACAAAUGGUAAGGGACAUCUGCAUGAAACAGGCUGGAGAAGAGAAGACAGGAGUGGAUGCCAGUGGCAGAACAGUGGCAGGGUAUUAGUUUCUUCUGAUCUUUGGAAAGAAAUUCUUUCUCCUCUUCCUUUAGGUUUUGGAAAGCAAAAUCCUAUGAGAAGAAGCACCCGAGGAGAUGGACACAAUUUAAGAUGAGCCACAGCUGCUUGACAAUGUGGCUCUUUUCCUGGGGUAGUGACACACCCUUCCUCACUUGCUUUUUACUCUCCAUCUUUGGGGGUGGCAAGAGCAGAAGGACCCUUCAAACCUCCCACGUUAUCCUGCCUUACAGGACAGGGUGGCCACACAGAGGGGAUGAUCCCGUAUCUCCACAAUGAUUAGAAGGGUGAAGAUGAUUCUAUUACCAGUAAUAGUAUGUUGUGAAUAUCCCAUCUCCACCUGUUAAUUAGGGCCACCCCCUCCUCUUUUCUACUGAAUGUGAAGCAGUACUGUAACUGCGGCAUUUAGCGGGUGAUGCUGUUUAUUAUACGUGGUAUUUCAGUGGUUUGUGUGGGAGAAAGAAUUAAUUAUAGCUCUCUGGCUCCAACCCUUUCCCAACCCCCAGCCUUGUCCUCUUUCCCUCUCCCUGAUAUAGAAAGCCAUAUGCGUAUAAAUAGGCAGAGUAAACAGAGUGCAGAUUUGCUGAGGGGGAGCAGGGCAUCCUGGGGCCAGCACUGAGCUAGCAAUUCAGGCUGAGGUUUGGAAGAGAAGCUUUGGGGAGACACUGAGGGUCAUUGUGCCUCAGCUCCCCCAUCCUGAGAAGUGUGUAAGGAAAUUUAGAACAGUGAACUGCUGGAAACUUUGCAAUGCUGUCAAGAUGUAUGGUUCCAUUCUUCAGAAAUGUUCAUGCUUCUGUGAAACCCUUCUGGAGUAUGUCUGAAGCCAGGUGUCUUUGGGAGGCUAAGACAGAAGGAUCACAAGUUCAAGG
Fukomys damarensis (Damara mole-rat) is the source of this 3623-nucleotide long non-coding RNA. The record is from Ensembl. NCBI's taxonomy places the organism in Eukaryota, Metazoa, Chordata, Mammalia, Rodentia, Bathyergidae.